Molecule: ribosomal RNA, 609 nt
Filed under: Janthinobacterium sp.
Lineage: Bacteria; Pseudomonadati; Pseudomonadota; Betaproteobacteria; Burkholderiales; Oxalobacteraceae
Description: bacterial SSU rRNA
Rfam family: Bacterial small subunit ribosomal RNA
Source: RNAcentral
CGAGUGGCGAAGGGUGAGUAAUAUAUCGGAACGUACCCUAGAGUGGGGGAUAACGUAGCGAAAGUUACGCUAAUACCGCAUACGAUCUAAGGAUGAAAGUGGGGGAUCGCAAGACCUCAUGCUCGUGGAGCGGCCGAUAUCUGAUUAGCUAGUUGGUAGGGUAAAAGCCUACCAAGGCAUCGAUCAGUAGCUGGUCUGAGAGGACGACCAGCCACACUGGAACUGAGACACGGUCCAGACUCCUACGGGAGGCAGCAGUGGGGAAUUUUGGACAAUGGGCGAAAGCCUGAUCCAGCAAUGCCGCGUGAGUGAAGAAGGCCUUCGGGUUGUAAAGCUCUUUUGUCAGGGAAGAAACGGUGAAAGCUAAUAUCUUUUGCUAAUGACGGUACCUGAAGAAUAAGCACCGGCUAACUACGUGCCAGCAGCCGCGGUAAUACGUAGGGUGCAAGCGUUAAUCGGAAUUACUGGGCGUAAAGCGCGCCCAGGCGGUUUUGUAAGUCUGAUGUGAAAUCCCCGGGCUCAACCUGGGAAUUGCCUUGCAGACUGCAAGGCUAGAAUCUGGCAGAGGGGGGUAGAAUUCCACGUGUAGCAGUGAAAUGCGUAUAUAUG